GGCCGGCUAGCUCAGUUGGGGAGAGUGAGGCGCCUUUAGCUUAGGUCGUCGGUUCGACUCCGGCGUCGGCCC
Fomes fomentarius is the source of this 72-nucleotide non-coding RNA. The record is from the annotation of a GenBank genome assembly. NCBI's taxonomy places the organism in Eukaryota, Fungi, Basidiomycota, Agaricomycetes, Polyporales, Polyporaceae.